Molecule: non-coding RNA, 574 nt
Organism: Myodes glareolus (Bank vole)
Lineage: Eukaryota; Metazoa; Chordata; Mammalia; Rodentia; Cricetidae
Source: RefSeq, a predicted model, not a curated record
CCCAAAUACCACUUCUGGGAGCUCCUAGUUCAUUGCUUUCAUCUUACAAUGUCCAGUCUCCUGAAGAGUCCAAACAGUCCUCCCAGACUCCACCCCGUGCCUGUCUUCCGUAGACUCCAAGUCACCAAGCACCGCCUGGUAAUUUACAUGUUCGCCUCUUUCACCACCCCAUCCCCAACUGUGAGCAGCUUCAGUGGACCUGGACCACAGUGCCCUCUGACUCCCUGGCCGACAACAUUAGGCUGACUGGCUAAUUGAAACAGAAUUGGGAUAUUUUCAUCUGUCUUCUGAGCCCUGUCUGGAAGGAAGUUCUGUGAUCAAAACACUCAAGUACACGGGCCUAGCGGAUAUAUCCACAAGCACCCCCUUCUGCACUGCUGUACUCUGAACAGGACUCUAAGAAGAAAUGGCCCAUGGGGGGACAAUCUCAGUCUUGGUUUAUUCAGCUAAGGAGAAGGUAAAUAGCAGGCAUCUUCAGGGUGCACAGUGAACAGAAACCCCAUCAGUCAGCAGCUCCUGUCUCUGCAGAUCAUGUCUCUCCCAUUGCCUUCCUCCCCAACAAGCCUUCUUUCUG